GUGAGGAAUUUUGCGCAAUGGGGGAAACCCUGACGCAGCAACGCCGCGUGAGUGAUGAAGGCCUUCGGGUUGUAAAGCUCUUUUAGUGGGGACGAAAUGCAAGGGCUUAACAUGUCCUUGUGCUGACGGUACCCACAGAAAAAGUUCCGGCUAACUACGUGCCAGCAGCCGCGGUAAUACGUAGGGAGCAAGCGUUGUUCGGAAUUAUUGGGCGUAAAGAGCGCGUAGGCUGUUCUGUAAGUCCGAUGUGAAAUCCCACGGCUUAACCGUGGAACUGCAUUGGAUACUGCAGGGCUGGAGUGUGGGAGAGGAGAGUGGAAUUCCCAGUGUAGAGGUGAAAUUCGUAGAUAUUGGGAGGAACACCGGUGGCGAAGGCGGCUCUCUGGACCACAACUGACGCUGAGGCGCGAAAGCUAGGGGAGCAAACGGGAUUAGAUACCCUUGUAGUCC
This 450-nucleotide ribosomal RNA is filed under the name uncultured bacterium. RNAcentral's name for it is "bacterial SSU rRNA". It matches the Rfam family "Bacterial small subunit ribosomal RNA", at positions 354 to 796 of the family's 1533-position model. The record is from RNAcentral.